RNAcentral lists this small nuclear RNA (292 nucleotides) under Jaculus jaculus (lesser Egyptian jerboa). RNAcentral's name for it is "7SK RNA (ENSJJAG00000005817.1)". It matches the Rfam family "7SK RNA". Rfam says of the family: 7SK was discovered as an abundant small nuclear RNA in the mid-70s but a possible function has only recently been suggested. Two independent studies have found that 7SK RNA binds the CDK9/cyclin T complex (known as elongation factor P-TEFb). P-TEFb activates transcription by phosphorylating the C-terminal domain of RNA polymerase II. Lineage: Eukaryota; Metazoa; Chordata; Mammalia; Rodentia; Dipodidae. The record is from Rfam by way of RNAcentral.
AGUUAUAAGGGAGAUUUGCUUGUGACAUCUAUCACUCCUGCUUGGCUAGAUAGGUGUCCCCUUCCUCCCUCAGCCCUCCAUGGGUGCUCCUCCCGAAGCUUUGUGCUCCACACAGAGCCUUCCCAAUAGAGGAGGACCACUCUGUGGUCAAGGAUAGGAGAGCAGCUGUGCUAUGUGUGUGAACCCCCAGACAUGCCCUCAAUGUUUAUUUGUAGAGAAUGGCGGGCAGCCAGACUUCCAGGACUCCAGAUACACUCAAGAGAGAGGCCACAUGGGGCAGUGCUCUGCCUUU